UGUAAGCGUAUACCAAAGUUGUUGCAGUUAAAACGCUCGUAGUCGGAAUUUGGCAGUUCCGGAUGUGUGCACGUCGUGUGCGCACUUCGCGGGGAUUGCUUUUGUGGUCUUGCGUAGGAUGAGGCACUUUUAUUAGUGAACGUCCUCACGCAACCACUUUUUACUGUGAGAAAAUCAGAGUGCUCAAAGCAGGCAUUUGCCGUGAAUGUAUUAGCAUGGAAUAAUAGAAUAGGACUUGGUUCUAAUUUGUUGGUUUGUUGGGACUGAGUAAUGAUUAAGAGGGACAGUUGGGGGCAUUUGUAUUUCGGUGCUAGAGGUGAAAUUCUUAGAUUACCGAAAGACAAACUGCUGCGAAAGCGUCUGCCAAGGAUGUUUUCAUUGA
This 382-nucleotide ribosomal RNA is filed under the name uncultured eukaryote. RNAcentral's name for it is "partial 18S ribosomal RNA". It matches the Rfam family "Eukaryotic small subunit ribosomal RNA", at positions 592 to 976 of the family's 1831-position model. The record is from RNAcentral.